Molecule: ribosomal RNA, 167 nt
Filed under: uncultured bacterium
Lineage: Bacteria
Description: partial 16S ribosomal RNA
Rfam family: Bacterial small subunit ribosomal RNA
Source: RNAcentral
GCUAGUAAUCGCAGAUCAGCAUGCUGCGGUGAAUACGUUCCCGGGUCUUGUACACACCGCCCGUCACACCAUGGGAGCCGGGAAUGCCCGAAGUCAGCGGCCCAACCGAAAGGAGGGAGCUGCCGAAGGUGAAGCCAGCGACUGGGGUGAAGUCGUAACAAGGUACC